CCUACGGGAGGCAGCAGUGGGGAAUCUUGCGCAAUGGGCGAAAGCCUGACGCAGCCAUGCCGCGUGAAUGAUGAAGGUCUUAGGAUUGUAAAAUUCUUUCACCGGGGACGAUAAUGACGGUACCCGGAGAAGAAGCCCCGGCUAACUUCGUGCCAGCAGCCGCGGUAAUACGAAGGGGGCUAGCGUUGCUCGGAAUUACUGGGCGUAAAGGGAGCGUAGGCGGAUAGUUUAGUCAGAGGUGAAAGCCCAGGGCUCAACCUUGGAAUUGCCUUUGAUACUGGCUAUCUUGAGUACGGAAGAGGUAUGUGGAACUCCGAGUGUAGAGGUGAAAUUCGUAGAUAUUCGGAAGAACACCAGUGGCGAAGGCGACAUACUGGUCCGUUACUGACGCUGAGGCUCGAAAGCGUGGGGAGCAAACAGGAUUAGAUACCCUGGUAGUCCACGCUGUAAACGAUGAGUGCUAGUUGUCGGCAUGCAUGCAUGUCGGUGACGCAGACUAACGACAUUAAGACACUCCGCCGUCGGGGAGGUACGGUACGCGAAGAAUUAAAACGUUAAAAGUAAAGUUAGUACGGACGUGAGACGUAGCCGAACGGACGACGACGAGGGAGUAGG
Molecule: ribosomal RNA, 615 nt
Filed under: uncultured bacterium
Lineage: Bacteria
Description: bacterial SSU rRNA
Rfam family: Bacterial small subunit ribosomal RNA (bases 1-520)
Source: RNAcentral